RNAcentral lists this ribosomal RNA (344 nucleotides) under uncultured Sphingobacteriales bacterium. RNAcentral's name for it is "bacterial SSU rRNA". It matches the Rfam family "Bacterial small subunit ribosomal RNA", at positions 1039 to 1382 of the family's 1533-position model. Lineage: Bacteria; Pseudomonadati; Bacteroidota; Sphingobacteriia; Sphingobacteriales. The record is from RNAcentral.
UGCUGCAUGGUUGUCGUCAGCUCGUGCCGUGAGGUGUCGGGUUAAGUCCCAUAACGAGCGCAACCCUUAUCGUUAGUUGCCAGCUGGUAAAGCAGGGGACUCUAGCGAAACUGCCACCGUAAGGUGAGAGGAAGGUGGGGAUGACGUCAAAUCAGCACGGCCCUUAUGUCCAGGGCUACACACGUGUUACAAUGGCCGGCACAGAGGGCAGCUACCUGGUGACAGGAUGCUAAUCUCGAAAACCGGUCUCAGUUCGGAUCGAAGUCUGCAACUCGACUUCGUGAAGCCGGAUUCGCUAGUAAUCGCGCAUCAGCCAUGGCGCGGUGAAUACGUUCCCGGGCCUU